UUUUUUUUUUUUUCUAAGAUAGAGUUUGCUCUUGUUGCGCAGGCUGGAGUGCAACGGCACAAUCUCGGCUCACUGCAACUUCCGCCUCCCAGGUUUAAGCGGUUCUCCUGCCUCAGCCUCCCGAGUAGCUGGGAUUACAGGCGCCUGCCACCAUGCCGGGCUAAUUUUGUAUUUUUAGUAGAGACAGGGUUUCUCCAUGUUGGUCAGAUUGGUCUUGAACUUCCAACCUCAGGUGAUCUACCCGCCUCAGCCUCCCAAAGUUCUGGGAUUACAAGCGUGAGCCACCGCACCUGGCCAUAGUUGUCUUUCUUAAUGUGGAUUUAAUCUGCAUUGUCCCUAAGAACUCAGAAUUACUGUUGAUGCUUCAAAGGUGUGUGUGUGUGUGUGUGUGUGUGUUCAGUUGAUUCAGAAAUUCCUCCCAGGAAAAUAGAAGACCCCAGGAGGAGUGAGGCAACACCUCUUUAUCUGCUACUGGCAGAGAGAUCUUCAUGAAAAUACACAUGAACCUCCAGAACUCGAUGUGCUCCACCAGCCAGCCUUCACCUAUCAAAGCCAACCCUGCAACUUACUGCUGAAGCCCCCAUGGAAUAGCUCAGCUAGCAGGAACUGUAGAGUAGGGGAUUCUUACUUCAGUGCAUCUUGAUGUUCUGAGUGAGGGAACAGCACAGACCCUCUGGGAGACCAUCUCCUGUGUGUUAGUGAGGUCUUACAUUGUAAAGGUUUUGAAGAAAGGAGACUGUGUCUGUGAGUCCUCAAUAAAGCAGACACCUGGUUGGAGUUAGGAGUCCAAAGGGCUUAUCUGAAGUGGCACCUCUCAGUACCAACAGGGGAUGAAGCCUGUCACCAAUGGUGGGAACUGUAGAAAGUGAUGUAAGUUCUUGGGAACUGAGGCUGUGGUCCAGGUCAUAAGAAAAAGUAAAUGAGUGCCAAAAAUGGCCGUGCCAUUAAGCCUGUUUUACACAUAGAAGAGACACGUGGAGAUCAUAUAGAGAAAGAGCCAGAAUUCAAACCCGAGCAGUCUUCAGAGCCCAUGCUGUCCACCUCUUCCCCUGCACAGGCCUUGGCAGUCUUUGUCUCUUUCUGCUCACAGGAUCGGCUUUGCCAUUGCCCGGCGUUUGGCCCAGGACGGGGCCCACGUGGUCGUCAGCAGCCGGAAGCAGCAGAAUGUGGACCAGGCGGUGGCCAGGCUGCAGGGGGAAGGGCUGAGCGUGACGGGCACCGUGUGCCAUGUGGGGAAGGCGGAGGACCGGGAGCGGCUGGUGGCUACGGUGAGCUUGCCAGCCCUCGUGUCCCUGCAGCCUCUGGCACAACCGUGCCACCUCUGUGCAGCCCCAUCGAUCAGUCCCCGCCGGGCU
Molecule: non-coding RNA, 1355 nt
Filed under: Macaca mulatta (Rhesus monkey)
Lineage: Eukaryota; Metazoa; Chordata; Mammalia; Primates; Cercopithecidae
Source: RNAcentral